CGGACUCCUACGGGGAGGCAGUCAGUCGGGGAAUAUUGCACAAUGGGGGAAACCCUGAUGCAGCCAUGCCGCGUGUGUGAAGAAGGCCUUCGGGUUGUAAAGCACUUUCAGUAGGGAGGAAGGUAGUGUAGUUAACACCUGCAUUAUUUGACGUUACCUACAGAAGAAGCACCGGCUAACUCCGUGCCAGCAGCCGCGGUAAUACGGAGGGUGCGAGCGUUAAUCGGAAUUACUGGGCGUAAAGCGCAUGCAGGCGGCCUGUUAAGUCAGAUGUGAAAGCCCGGGGCUUAACCUCGGAAUUGCAUUUGAAACUGGCAGGCUAGAGUCUUGUAGAGGGGGGUAGGAAUUUCAGGUGUAGCGGUGAAAUGCGUAGAGAUCUGAAGGAAUACCAGUGGCGAAGGCGGCCCCCUCGGACAAAGACUGACGCUCAGAUGCGAAAGCGUGGGGAGCAAACAGGAUUAGAUACCCCUGGUAG
Molecule: ribosomal RNA, 475 nt
Filed under: uncultured bacterium
Lineage: Bacteria
Description: bacterial SSU rRNA
Rfam family: Bacterial small subunit ribosomal RNA
Source: RNAcentral